This 206-nucleotide long non-coding RNA is filed under the name Malus domestica (apple). RNAcentral describes it as "long non-coding RNA (MDOM_LNC012907)". Lineage: Eukaryota; Viridiplantae; Streptophyta; Magnoliopsida; Rosales; Rosaceae. The record is from RNAcentral.
UUGGUGAUUGUUGAUCCAAGGGCCGUCGGGGCUUGAUCUUGGAAGAACGAUGAACGAAGAACGAAGAACACUUUCUUCAAGGGCCGUCGGGGCUUGAUCUUGAAUUGGUGAUUGUUGAUCCAAGGGAUGUCGGGGCUUGAUCUUUGAAGAACGAUGAACGAAGAACGAAGAACGCUUUCUUGAUUCUUCGGGAACCUGGAUGCUUG